This 119-nucleotide ribosomal RNA is filed under the name Triticum aestivum (bread wheat). RNAcentral also lists the same sequence under 1 other name. The record is from RNAcentral. Lineage: Eukaryota; Viridiplantae; Streptophyta; Magnoliopsida; Poales; Poaceae.
GGAUGCGAUCAUACCAGCACUAAAGCACCGGAUCCCAUUAGAACUCCGAAGUUAAGCGUGCUUGGUCGAGAGUAGUACUAGGAUGGGUGACCUCCUGGGAAGUCCUCGUGUUGCAUUCC